UACGUAGGGUGCAAGCGUUGUCCGGAAUUAUUGGGCGUAAAGAGCUCGUAGGCGGUUUGUCGCGUCUGCUGUGAAAGCUCGGGGCUUAACCCCGGGCCUGCAGUGGGUACGGGCAGACUAGAGUGCGGUAGGGGAGACUGGAAUUCCUGGUGUAGCGGUGAAAUGCGCAGAUAUCAGGAGGAACACCGGUGGUGUAGACGGCUCACUGGACCGUAACUGACGCUGAGACACGAAAGCGUGGGUAGCAAACAGG
RNAcentral lists this ribosomal RNA (253 nucleotides) under uncultured bacterium. RNAcentral describes it as "partial 16S ribosomal RNA". It matches the Rfam family "Bacterial small subunit ribosomal RNA", at positions 524 to 776 of the family's 1533-position model. The record is from RNAcentral.